UAUUAAAAAUUUCAUCCAUUUAUACUGUUAAAAAUUAGUAUGAUUAUGGAAUAACCAAACAAUGACAUGUAGCGUGUCAUGUGUACAUCAUGCUGACAUAUAUGAACCGAUUUUUAACCAUACAAAUGGAUGGAAUUUUUAACU
This is a non-coding RNA of Gossypium raimondii (Peruvian cotton), 144 nucleotides long. The record is from Rfam. NCBI's taxonomy places the organism in Eukaryota, Viridiplantae, Streptophyta, Magnoliopsida, Malvales, Malvaceae.